GGCUGGUCCGAUGGUAGUGGGUGAUCAGAACUUACUAACAUUAGUGUCACUAAAGCUGGUGUACAACCUCCUCCUGCUAAUUUUGACUGGCUUUAA
This 96-nucleotide Y RNA is filed under the name Prolemur simus (greater bamboo lemur). RNAcentral's name for it is "Y RNA (ENSPSMG00000011185.1)". It matches the Rfam family "Y RNA". From Rfam's summary of the family: Y RNAs are components of the Ro ribonucleoprotein particle (Ro RNP), in association with Ro60 and La proteins. The Y RNAs and Ro60 and La proteins are well conserved, but the function of the Ro RNP is not known. Lineage: Eukaryota; Metazoa; Chordata; Mammalia; Primates; Lemuridae. The record is from Rfam by way of RNAcentral.